UUUUAAUCGUUAUUCAUGCAAAAUGAAAAUUAUAAUAAACAGUUGCAUUUUAAAAACUAAAUGUUCAUUUGAAGAACGUUUUCCCAUAUAUAAUAAUAAAUCAACUCAUAUUGUGAGUCAGACUGGUUACCCUACUUUCAGAGUGUACUUGCCUACUUCUGCCAUGCGCAAAAGGGUUGAGGAGUCUCUCAUCAGUGGUCAGACAGUACAAUACAUUAAGCUAAAUUUGCAGAUUAAAACCUGUUUUUAACCUACAAAAUAAGACUUGUGCAUCUGACCCUUAGAGAAAUUAGCUAAAAAUUAUAAUUCAAAGAUGGUACCAC
RNAcentral lists this long non-coding RNA (323 nucleotides) under Androctonus crassicauda. Lineage: Eukaryota; Metazoa; Arthropoda; Arachnida; Scorpiones; Buthidae. The record is from RNAcentral.